RNAcentral lists this ribosomal RNA (2136 nucleotides) under Escherichia coli. RNAcentral describes it as "partial 23S ribosomal RNA". It matches the Rfam family "Bacterial large subunit ribosomal RNA", at positions 55 to 2215 of the family's 2925-position model. The record is from RNAcentral. Lineage: Bacteria; Pseudomonadati; Pseudomonadota; Gammaproteobacteria; Enterobacterales; Enterobacteriaceae.
GACGUGCUAAUCUGCGAUAAGCGUCGGUAAGGUGAUAUGAACCGUUAUAACCGGCGAUUUCCGAAUGGGGAAACCCAGUGUGUUUCGACACACUAUCAUUAACUGAAUCCAUAGGUUAAUGAGGCGAACCGGGGGAACUGAAACAUCUAAGUACCCCGAGGAAAAGAAAUCAACCGAGAUUCCCCCAGUAGCGGCGAGCGAACGGGGAGCAGCCCAGAGCCUGAAUCAGUGUGUGUGUUAGUGGAAGCGUCUGGAAAGGCGCGCGAUACAGGGUGACAGCCCCGUACACAAAAAUGCACAUACUGUGAGCUCGAUGAGUAGGGCGGGACACGUGGUAUCCUGUCUGAAUAUGGGGGGACCAUCCUCCAAGGCUAAAUACUCCUGACUGACCGAUAGUGAACCAGUACCGUGAGGGAAAGGCGAAAAGAACCCCGGCGAGGGGAGUGAAAAAGAACCUGAAACCGUGUACGUACAAGCAGUGGGAGCACGCUUCGGCGUGUGACUGCGUACCUUUUGUAUAAUGGGUCAGCGACUUAUAUUCUGUAGCAAGGUUAACCGAAUAGGGGAGCCGAAGGGAAACCGAGUCUUAACUGGGCGUUAAGUUGCAGGGUAUAGACCCGAAACCCGGUGAUCUAGCCAUGGGCAGGUUGAAGGUUGGGUAACACUAACUGGAGGACCGAACCGACUAAUGUUGAAAAAUUAGCGGAUGACUUGUGGCUGGGGGUGAAAGGCCAAUCAAACCGGGAGAUAGCUGGUUCUCCCCGAAAGCUAUUUAGGUAGCGCCUCGUGAAUUCAUCUCCGGGGGUAGAGCACUGUUUCGGCAAGGGGGUCAUCCCGACUUACCAACCCGAUGCAAACUGCGAAUACCGGAGAAUGUUAUCACGGGAGACACACGGCGGGUGCUAACGUCCGUCGUGAAGAGGGAAACAACCCAGACCGCCAGCUAAGGUCCCAAAGUCAUGGUUAAGUGGGAAACGAUGUGGGAAGGCCCAGACAGCCAGGAUGUUGGCUUAGAAGCAGCCAUCAUUUAAAGAAAGCGUAAUAGCUCACUGGUCGAGUCGGCCUGCGCGGAAGAUGUAACGGGGCUAAACCAUGCACCGAAGCUGCGGCAGCGACACUAUGUGUUGUUGGGUAGGGGAGCGUUCUGUAAGCCUGUGAAGGUGUGCUGUGAGGCAUGCUGGAGGUAUCAGAAGUGCGAAUGCUGACAUAAGUAACGAUAAAGCGGGUGAAAAGCCCGCUCGCCGGAAGACCAAGGGUUCCUGUCCAACGUUAAUCGGGGCAGGGUGAGUCGACCCCUAAGGCGAGGCCGAAAGGCGUAGUCGAUGGGAAACAGGUUAAUAUUCCUGUACUUGGUGUUACUGCGAAGGGGGGACGGAGAAGGCUAUGUUGGCCGGGCGACGGUUGUCCCGGUUUAAGCGUGUAGGCUGGUUUUCCAGGCAAAUCCGGAAAAUCAAGGCUGAGGCGUGAUGACGAGGCACUACGGUGCUGAAGCAACAAAUGCCCUGCUUCCAGGAAAAGCCUCUAAGCAUCAGGUAACAUUAAAUCGUACCCCAAACCGACACAGGUGGUCAGGUAGAGAAUACCAAGGCGCUUGAGAGAACUCGGGUGAAGGAACUAGGCAAAAUGGUGCCGUAACUUCGGGAGAAGGCACGCUGAUAUGUAGGUGAAGUCCCUCGCGGAUGGAGCUGAAAUCAGUCGAAGAUACCAGCUGGCUGCAACUGUUUAUUAAAAACACAGCACUGUGCAAACACGAAAGUGGACGUAUACGGUGUGACGCCUGCCCGGUGCCGGAAGGUUAAUUGAUGGGGUUAGCGGUAACGCGAAGCUCUUGAUCGAAGCCCCGGUAAACGGCGGCCGUAACUAUAACGGUCCUAAGGUAGCGAAAUUCCUUGUCGGGUAAGUUCCGACCUGCACGAAUGGCGUAAUGAUGGCCAGGCUGUCUCCACCCGAGACUCAGUGAAAUUGAACUCGCUGUGAAGAUGCAGUGUACCCGCGGCAAGACGGAAAGACCCCGUGAACCUUUACUAUAGCUUGACACUGAACAUUGAGCCUUGAUGUGUAGGAUAGGUGGGAGGCUUUGAAGUGUGGACGCCAGUCUGCAUGGAGCCGACCUUGAAAUACCACCCUUUAAUGUUU